Molecule: long non-coding RNA, 530 nt
Organism: Temnothorax curvispinosus
Lineage: Eukaryota; Metazoa; Arthropoda; Insecta; Hymenoptera; Formicidae
Exons: 3
Source: RefSeq, a predicted model, not a curated record
AGGCGCAUCGCGCCGCGACGCUGAUGGAUUUAUCGCGGAAAAAAUACGGGAACAGCCGCGACGCGACCGUGUUCUCUCGUGUAUCGCGCGUCGCAGAAACGCGUUGUUGCUUUUGUUACUCCUCGGCGCGGCGGCAGCCAGCAGCGUAGCUCGGAGAUGAGUGGUGAAAGCUUUAUUUGGAAAUAUAUUUGGGGGUUGCCAAGAGAGUGCCGAGUCAUAAAAAUCGCGGAAAUUCCGUUUUUCAAAUGUCACUUCGCUCGCAGCGACAGCAAAUACUUUAAUGGUUCGACACACCAAUCUUCGAUACAUUGAAUGCGGCUUCUCCACGAGCGCAAAAUGUUAAUGGAUAUUUGUGCCGAACGCGUGCUGGGUAUAUACGUUAGGCCAGACUGAUGGAGAAACGCAGCAGCAUAAUGAAGUAAAGGAGUACAGGUAAUAUCAACCACAGUUACCAAUAAAUAUGAACGGGUAGACUAUGAAGGAUCAGUUUAAAAUGGAAAUAUUUCAAGAAUAAAUAAAAGUAAUAAUCA